GCCCAGACUCCUACGGGAGGCAGCAGUGAGGAAUAUUGGUCAAUGGGCGGGAGCCUGAACCAGCCAAGUCGCGUGAGGGAUGACGGCCCUAUGGGUUGUAAACCUCUUUUGCCGGGGAGCAAAGUGCCGCACGUGUGCGGUUUGGAGAGUACCCGGAGAAAAAGCAUCGGCUAACUCCGCGCCAGCAGCCGCGGUAAUACGGAAGGUCCGGGCGUUAUCCGGAUUUAUUGGGUUUAAAGGGAGCGUAGGCCGGUCUUUAAGCGUGCGGUGAAAUUUUGUGGCUCAACCAUGGGAGUGCGGCGGGAACGGGAGACCUUGAGUGCGCGGAAGGCAGGCGGAAUUCGUGGUGUAGCGGGGAAAUGCUUAGAUAUCACGAAGAACCCCGAUGGCGAAGGCAGCCUGCCGCAGCGUUACUGACGCUGAAGCUCGAAAGCGCGGGUAUCGAACAGGAUUAGAUACCCCCGUAA
Molecule: ribosomal RNA, 467 nt
Filed under: uncultured bacterium
Lineage: Bacteria
Description: bacterial SSU rRNA
Rfam family: Bacterial small subunit ribosomal RNA
Source: RNAcentral